CGCAGGUCAGUGAAGGAAGGCCUUCCAGGCAGGCCCAUCUCCUUCCACGCCUCCCUCAGGUAGACGGGCAGGUUCUUGAUCUCAGUGUUGGUGGAAUUGAAAAAGAAGUACUGGGCUUUAUUUCCCCCUGGCAGACAGUGCUUAAAUUUCAGGAAGUCUGAAAACCAAGAGUACUCCUCCUUGGUCAGCGACAUCUGGAUCCUGGUUUGCAUUUGUUUUGCGUUUCCCACCUAUUAGAAAAUGGAGGGAAAAAACAGGCAUUAACGCUGCAGUCGUUUCUAAAACCAACCAACCACGUUCAGGUGUAUGGUUAUAGACUUACGUUGAUCAGACAGGUCCCAGACAGGCCCCACUGGGCCACAUUCAGGUGUACGGUUAUAGACUUACGUUGAUCAGACAGGUCCCAGACAGGCCCCACUGGACCACAUUCAGGUGUACGGUUAUAGACUUACGUUGAUCAGACAGGUCCCAGACAGGCCCCACUGGGCCACGUUCAGGUGUAUGGUUAUAGACUUACGUUGAUCAGACAGGUCCCAGACAGGCCACGCUGGACCUCCUCCACCUCCUUCACCAUCAUGUUUCUAUAAAGGCCCGGGCUGUGGCCGUACAUGGAGGUGAAAUAGGCACACAGGAAUCCGUAAAACCGGUUCUGGUUCUUCUGUGUCAUAGUUUCUUCCAAGGUUUCUGUGGGAACAUGAGAAUAGAAACAGGAUAACUUCCAUAAUGUCCUGUGAACAUCUCUGACAUCUAUAAUAAUAACAGACAGCUUCCAUAAUGUCCUGUGAACAUCUAUAAUAACAGACAGCUUCCAUAAUGUCCUGUGAACAUCUAUAAUAACAGACAGCUUCCAUAAUGUCCUGUGAACAUCUCUGACAUCUAUAAUAAUAACAGACAGCUUCCAUAAUGUCCUGUAAACAUCUAUAAUAAUAACAGACAGCUCCCAUAAUGUCCUGUAAACAUCUCUGACAUCUAUAAUAAUAACAGACAGCUUCCAUAAUGUCCUGUGAACAUCUAUAAUAAUAACAGACAGCUUCCAUAAUGUCCUGUUAACAUCUCUGACAUCUAUAAUAAUAACAGACAGCUUCCAUAAUGUCCUGUAAACAUCUCUAAUAAUAACAGACAGCUUCCAUAAUGUCCUGUGAACAUCUAUAAUAAUAACAGACAGCUUCCAUAAUGUCCUGUAAACAUCUCUAAUAAUAACAGACAGCUUCCAUAGUGUCCUGUGAACAUCUCUGACAUCUAUAAUAAUAACAGACAGCUUCCAUAAUGUCCUGUAAACAUCUCUAAUAAUAACAGACAGCUUCCAUAAUGUCCUGUAAACAUCUCUAAUAAUAACAGACAGCUUCCAUAAUGUCCUGUGAACAUCUAUAAUAAUAACAGACAGCUUCCAUAAUGUCCUGUAAACAUCUCUAAUAAUAACAGACAGCUUCCAUAGUGUCCUGUGAACA
Long non-coding RNA from Oncorhynchus tshawytscha (Chinook salmon), 1448 nucleotides. Lineage: Eukaryota; Metazoa; Chordata; Actinopteri; Salmoniformes; Salmonidae. The record is from Ensembl.